This 465-nucleotide ribosomal RNA is filed under the name uncultured bacterium. Its description in RNAcentral is "partial 16S ribosomal RNA". It matches the Rfam family "Bacterial small subunit ribosomal RNA", at positions 338 to 795 of the family's 1533-position model. The record is from RNAcentral.
CCUACGGGUGGCAGCAGUAGGGAAUUUUCGUCAAUGGGCGCAAGCCUGAACGAGCAAUGCCGCGUGAACGAGGAAGGUCUUCGGAUCGUAAAGUUCUGUUGAAGGGGAAAAAGAGCGGAGAGAGGAAAUGGUCUCCGAUUGAUAUUACCCUUCGAGGACGUCACGGCUAACUACGUGCCAGCAGCCGCGGUAAUACGUAGGUGGCGAGCGUUAUCCGGAAUGAUUGGGCGUAAAGGGUGCGUAGGCGGCCUGCUAAGUCUGGAGUGAAAGGUACCGGCUCAACCGGUACAGGUUCUGGAAACUGGCGGGCUAGAGAGCAGGAGAGGGCGGUGGAACUCCAUGUGUAGCGGUAAAAUGCGUAGAUAUAUGGAAGAACACCAGUGGCGAAGGCGGCCACCUGGCCUGUUGACUGACGCUGAGGCACGAAAGCGUGGGGAGCAAAUAGGAUUAGAUACCCGAGUAGUC